This 490-nucleotide ribosomal RNA is filed under the name uncultured bacterium. RNAcentral's name for it is "partial 16S ribosomal RNA". It matches the Rfam family "Bacterial small subunit ribosomal RNA", at positions 29 to 507 of the family's 1533-position model. The record is from RNAcentral.
AGUGAACGCUGGCGGUAGGCCUAACACAUGCAAGUCGAACGGCAGCACAGGAGAGCUUGCUCUCUGGGUGGCGAGUGGCGGACGGGUGAGGAAUACAUCGGAAUCUGCCCAGUCGUGGGGGAUAACGUAGGGAAACUUACGCUAAUACCGCAUACGACCUUCGGGUGAAAGAGGGGGAUCGCAAGACCUCUCGCGAUUGGAUGAGCCGAUGUCGGAUUAGCUAGUUGGCGGGGUAAUGGCCCACCAAGGCGACGAUCCGUAGCUGGUCUGAGAGGAUGAUCAGCCACACUGGAACUGAGACACGGUCCAGACUCCUACGGGAGGCAGCAGUGGGGAAUAUUGGACAAUGGGCGCAAGCCUGAUCCAGCCAUACCGCGUGGGUGAAGAAGGCCUUCGGGUUGUAAAGCCCUUUUGUUGGGAAAGAAAUCUUUCAGGCUAAUACCCUGGGAGGAUGACGGUACCCAAAGAAUAAGCACCGGCUAACUUCGCG